This 309-nucleotide ribosomal RNA is filed under the name uncultured bacterium. RNAcentral's name for it is "partial 16S ribosomal RNA". It matches the Rfam family "Bacterial small subunit ribosomal RNA", at positions 504 to 807 of the family's 1533-position model. The record is from RNAcentral.
AGAGACAGCAGCCGCCGCGGGAAUACGAAGGGUGCAAGCGUUACUCGGAAUUACUGGGCGUAAAGCGUGCGUAGGUGGUGGUUUAAGUCCGUUGUGAAAGCCCUGGGCUCAACCUGGGAAUUGCAGUGGAUACUGGGUCACUAGAGUGUGGUAGAGGAUAGUGGAAUUUCCGGUGUAGCAGUGAAAUGCGUAGAGAUCGGAAGGAACAUCUGUGGCGAAGGCGACUAUCUGGGCCAACACUGACACUGAGGCACGAAAGCGUGGGGAGCAAACAGGAUUAGAUACCCCAGUAGUCCCUGUCUCUUAUAC